Molecule: ribosomal RNA, 879 nt
Filed under: Triticum aestivum (bread wheat)
Lineage: Eukaryota; Viridiplantae; Streptophyta; Magnoliopsida; Poales; Poaceae
Description: partial small subunit ribosomal RNA
Source: RNAcentral
AUGGAAAUCACUUUAGGAGAUGCUACUAAACUCCUAGAUAAUAUCAUGGUUAAUUACUCUCAAUGGCAUACCGAAAGAUCUACUAAUAAAAAAGUGCAUGCGAUAGAAGAAAUUAAUGGUUUGGGUGGAAAGAUGGAUGAACUUAUGAAAUUAUUUGCUACUAAGAGUGUUUCUUCUGAUCCUAAUGAUAUGCCUUUGUCUACUUUGAUUGAGAAUAAUAAUGAAUCUAUGGAUGUGAAUUUUGUUGGUAGGAAUAAUUUUGGUAACAACGCGUAUAGAGGGAAUUUUAAUCCUAGGCCUUAUCCUAGUAAUCCUUCUAAUAAUUAUGGAAAUUCCUACAACUAUUCUUAUGGAAAUUUUAAUAAGAUGCCCUCUGAAUUUGAGACUAGUGUCAAAGAAUUUAUGAGUUCGCAAAAGAAUUUUAAUGCUUUGCUUGAGGAAAAAUUGCUUAAAGUUGAUGAUUUGGCUAGGAACAUUGAUAGAAUUUCUCUUGAAAUUGAUUCUUUAAAGCUUAUAUCUAUUCCUCCUAAGCAUGAUAUCAAUGAGUCUCUCAAAGCUAUGAGAAUUUCCAUUGAUGAGUGCAAAGAAAGAACCGCUAGGAAGCGUGCUUCCAAAGAUGCCUUUAUUAAAGCAUGUUCUUCCAAUUCCUUUGAAAAUCAAGAUGAAGAUCUAAAAGUUAUUGAUGUGUCCCCCAUUAAAUCUUUGUUUUGCAAUAUGAAUCUUGGUGAAACUGAAUAUGAUCUUCCUUUACCUAGAAGGCGUUCCAAAAAUUCGGAGUAUUUAGAUCUUGAUGAUGAAAUUGAUAAAUGUGGGAUUGAAAGAAAUAAAAACCUAGAUGUCGCUAAACCCAUUAUAUUGGAUUUCAAGGAAUUUAAUUAG